CAACAAAUUCUCAAACACUCUCUCUCUCUCUCUCUCUCUCUCUCUCUCUCUCUCUCUCUUUCUCAGGGAGACUCUCUCAGCAGAUAAACAAACAAUGAAAAAACUCAAACUCUCUUGCUCUCUCUUUCUUCUUCAUUGCCAUUUCUUUAACUCCGGUGACCUGCGACACGACCGAUACUAAUGAAUCUAGGGUGAGCCGAUCUACAAAACCCACAUGGCCAUAGGACGGGAAAUUAGCCAACGCGCCGUCACCAAUGGUUUGCUGACUUCAACAGCUGUCGAUCGUGUUCUGCAAAAGGUGUAUGGUGAUUGAGGAAGAUUGUGGUGAUGCAGCUGUGGAGACUUUGAAUCAGUUCCUUGGUUGGUGCAAGCUCUCAUUAUUUUUCGUAAGGUAUUCCUACAAGUAAAUUUGGGUUAUCAUCAUCAAUUGUAUCCUAAUUUCUUUUGCUUCUGUGAGCAUCACCACUUGUGCUCUAUAUAUUCUGGUUCAUUCUAAGCUCACUUCUGUCCUUCGAAUUGAUACCCAUAAAUUCUUCUUGCUCCAUUAUGCUCUAUGUUUAGCUAGACAGUGCUUGGUAUCAUGUUUCUAUGUGAAUUUUUGCCUAUAAUUAAUAACUCGGGACUCCCACUAGUUAAAAUUCAUAAACUAAUUAUAUGGCUUCUCAUUGAUAAUACUGUGAUACUUCACAUCAACUUAUAUUUGUUUCUUUAUUUCUUUUGAUGCCAAAAUGAGCCAUAAUAGCACAAUUAUGAAACCCAAGCUCUUCAUGUCCAUGUUAUAUAUGCAGCACAUCAACUAAAUACAUUGCAAAUGUAACUGUGUCAAUAUAUGCUUCAAAUAAUUGAGUGAUUGAUGCGUAGAAGUCAAUCACAUAUUUGGUGUUGUUUUGAUCUUCUACUUGAUUGUUCUAU
Molecule: long non-coding RNA, 912 nt
Organism: Rosa chinensis
Lineage: Eukaryota; Viridiplantae; Streptophyta; Magnoliopsida; Rosales; Rosaceae
Exons: 3
Source: RefSeq, a predicted model, not a curated record